This 402-nucleotide ribosomal RNA is filed under the name uncultured bacterium. RNAcentral's name for it is "bacterial SSU rRNA". It matches the Rfam family "Bacterial small subunit ribosomal RNA", at positions 356 to 773 of the family's 1533-position model. The record is from RNAcentral.
GGGGAAUCUUCCGCAAUGGGCGAAAGCCUGACGGAGCAACGCCGCGUGAGGGAAGAAGGCCUUCGGGUUGUAAACCUCUGUUUUUAGGGACGAAGAGAUGACGGUACCUAAAGAGUAAGCUCCGGCUAACUACGUGCCAGCAGCCGCGGUAAUACGUAGGGAGCGAGCGUUGUCCGGAAUUACUGGGCGUAAAGGGCGCGUAGGUGGUCCAUUAAGUUACUGGUGAAAGUUCGGGGCUUAACCCCGUGAUUGCCUGUAAUACUGGUGGACUUGAGUGCAGGAGAGGGGAGUGGAAUUCCCAGUGUAGCGGUGAAAUGCGUAGAUAUUGGGAGGAACACCAGUGGCGAAGGCGGCUCUCUGGACUGUAACUGACACUGAGGCGCGAAAGCGUGGGGAGCAAAC